GACGAACGCUGGCGGCGUGCCUAAUACAUGCAAGUUGAGCGCUGAAGGUUGGUACUUGUACCAACUGGAUGAGCAGCGAACGGGUGAGUAACGCGUGGGUAAUCUGCCUUUGAGCGGGGGACAACAUUUGGAAACGAAUGCUAAUACCGCAUAAAAACUUUAAACACAAGUUUUAAGUUUGAAAGAUGCAAUUGCAUCACUCAAAGAUGAUCCCGCGUUGUAUUAGCUAGUUGGUGAGGUAAAGGCUCACCAAGGCGAUGAUACAUAGCCGACCUGAGAGGGUGAUCGGCCACAUUGGAACUGAGACACGGCCCAAACUCCUACGGGAGGCAGCAGUAGGGAAUCUUCGGCAAUGGGCGAAAGUCUGACCGAGCAACGCCGCGUGAGUGAGGAAGGUUUUCGGAUCGUAAAACUCUGUUGGUAGAGAAGAACGUUGGUGAGAGUGGAAAGCUCAUCAAGUGACGGUAACUACCCAGAAAAGGACGGCGAACUACGU
This 496-nucleotide ribosomal RNA is filed under the name uncultured bacterium. RNAcentral's name for it is "partial 16S ribosomal RNA". It matches the Rfam family "Bacterial small subunit ribosomal RNA", at positions 28 to 506 of the family's 1533-position model. The record is from RNAcentral.